This 251-nucleotide unclassified non-coding RNA is filed under the name Hevea brasiliensis (rubber tree). The record is from RNAcentral. Lineage: Eukaryota; Viridiplantae; Streptophyta; Magnoliopsida; Malpighiales; Euphorbiaceae.
GCAUCUAAAAUAGAGAGAUGAAUUUAAGGCUUCAAGCAUUGUUCCAUUAGACAGAAUUUAAUUCCACAAUCAAAUUUAGCUUUCAUAGUAACAAGAACUGAAUUUGAAAGUUGACUCGUAACCCCAAAACCUUAAAGGUUUGAAAAAUAAUUUGCUGGACAUCACUCAAUGGCUUUAUUCCAUAGUGAGCAGCGAGAGAGGAUUCAAGCUGGGUUACAGCAAUUUUAUAUAAUUUGGCGACACAAAUAAAA